Transfer RNA from Cylindrospermum stagnale PCC 7417, 73 nucleotides. It matches the Rfam family "tRNA". Rfam says of the family: Transfer RNA (tRNA) molecules are approximately 80 nucleotides in length. The record is from Rfam. Lineage: Bacteria; Bacillati; Cyanobacteriota; Cyanophyceae; Nostocales; Nostocaceae.
GGGGUUAUAGCGCAGUUGGUAGCGCACCUCAAUGGCAUUGAGGGGGUCAGCGGUUCGAAUCCGCUUAGCUCCA